Transfer RNA from Lipomyces starkeyi NRRL Y-11557, 88 nucleotides. It matches the Rfam family "tRNA". Rfam says of the family: Transfer RNA (tRNA) molecules are approximately 80 nucleotides in length. The record is from Rfam. Lineage: Eukaryota; Fungi; Ascomycota; Lipomycetes; Lipomycetales; Lipomycetaceae.
UCGGCAAUAGUUUAGUGGCUAGAAUUUCCGCCUGUCAGGUAGAUGUACCAGCUCGCGGGGGACCGGGGUUCAAUUCCCCGUUGCCGAG